AGUUCCGGCCGCGCCGCUCGGGCCGCGGAGAGGGCGCGGGAGGCGAUUGGUGGGGGCUUGGAAGCCGCGGUCGUCGUGGAGCCCAGAGGCGUAAGGGCUAACAGUUUUCUGCCGCAGGCAGCUCGCAGCCGAAAGCUCCUCUCGCCAAAAUCAAAGGCUCCAUCCAAAGGGACGUGCGGAAGGGAAAGGAUGGGGGCUACGGGCCGCCGCACGGUCCAAGCCGCGCCGUCAAGCUGUCAAACUCGGUGGAGCGCUCUGGUCCCGGAGGCCGCGGAGGUGUGGCUUGUACAGUGUGCGGAGCGAGAACUCAGAAAAUGGGGAAAUGGAGGAGCGGGGGUGGAAACGAUUGGGCCGGAAAGCGCGUGGGGAGAAGGGGAAGCGCCCUGGACUGGGGGCUGCUGGGGUCCGCUGCGCCUCCCGACCCCGCUCUGAGCAUCCCAGCGAUUUCCAACGGACGAUAGGUCCUAAGUGCUUUGAAGAGACACAAAAAUAUAAUUGAACGAGUCAACACGCUCCAGCAGGUGGGGAGGCACCUCACAGAAGAGACUGGCCAAAACGUGAAAAACUGCUUGCUUUCACUAGACGUCCGGGAAACGCAGACUGAAACCACAGGGAAAUGUUUAUACACCCACCAACAUGGCCGGAGUGAAAAAACACCGAGCCCUGGCAAGCACCUGGAAUAACUCGGAGCCUCUAUCCGCUGCUGGGGGGGGAGGCGGGGAGAGGGAAUUGUUAAACUCCCUCCUACCGCAUUUAGGAGUAUCUGCCGAAGCCGCACGUGCACGGACCUGUGUUCACCGGAAGACGCCUGCUGGACGGUUCACAACCUAAAUGUCCGUGACCGACGGAAUGGAUAAAUGGUGCGUACCCAUACAAUGAACUACCGUACAAAAUAGGGACCAGUCGCACAAACACGUGUUGGGUUAAAGAAGCAAGACCUGAGACGGUACGUGCUGCGUGGUUCCAUCAAUAAAAGGUUCGGACUCCCGGCAAAACUGGUCUUUGGUAUGGGCAGACGUGGCGGGGCAAGGGUUCCCCGCGAGGGGGGGUGCCGGGCUACUAAUAAAACUCGGUGUCUUGG
This is a long non-coding RNA of Leopardus geoffroyi (Geoffroy's cat), 1081 nucleotides long. RefSeq lists it as uncharacterized. Lineage: Eukaryota; Metazoa; Chordata; Mammalia; Carnivora; Felidae. The transcript is spliced from 2 exons. The record is from RefSeq and is a predicted model, not a curated record.